This is a long non-coding RNA of Cryptomeria japonica (Japanese cedar), 581 nucleotides long. RefSeq lists it as uncharacterized. Lineage: Eukaryota; Viridiplantae; Streptophyta; Pinopsida; Cupressales; Cupressaceae. The transcript has 3 exons. The record is from RefSeq and is a predicted model, not a curated record.
UAUAUGCUCUAUUGGUGUAAAACAUGUUGAAGUACUAUUGUAUUGUUAGACAGUAUAAAAUAUCACUGAAAAGAGGAGACUGCAUUGCUACAAACGAUUAUUCUUCUAUUUAUCACAUGGAAGACAGACUGGAACAGAGAGGCCUCAGAAGCCGAAGAUAGGAUUAAGGUGUGGGGAGGUUCAGUAGAACCCAUCACAGACAGUUGAGUGAAGGUUCUUGCUGGUUUUGUGACUGAAUUAUUGAGCCCUUGAUCGAGAGACAAGGACAGAGGAGACUUAGGUUCUUUCUGCAUCAGUAGACAAGUUAAUCAUUUUUGUAGGUUUAUGAAUGAAUAUGGGCUUGUUUGUAUUAGUUUGAGGAACCUAUGGCAAGAUAUAGCCAAGGAGAUAAGGAGAACAACCUACUGGUGAAAAUCUAAAACCAAGAGUUAGAUGGCUGCUCUGCUGGGAUUCUUUCCCUCACUUGGUUGAUUGUGCUUAGAUGACCUGGUUGGAGGAUACUGACCAUUUUCAGUUUAUACUCUGGUUUAAUUACUCUCAUUUUUUAAAUUGAACAAAGCAAUUAACUAAAUAAUACAAUA